Molecule: ribosomal RNA, 507 nt
Filed under: Phoma sp. JK30
Lineage: Eukaryota; Fungi; Ascomycota; Dothideomycetes; Pleosporales; Didymellaceae
Description: eukaryotic LSU rRNA
Rfam family: 5.8S ribosomal RNA (bases 194-347)
Source: RNAcentral
GGAAGUAAAAAUCGUAACAAGGUUUCCGUAGGUGAACCUGCGGAAGGAUCAUUACCUAGAGUUGUAGGCUUUGCCUGCUAUCUCUUACCCAUGUCUUUUGAGUACCUUCGUUUCCUCGGCGGGUUCGCCCGCCGAUUGGACAAUUUAAACCAUUUGCAGUUGCAAUCAGCGUCUGAAAAAACAUAAUAGUUACAACUUUCAACAACGGAUCUCUUGGUUCUGGCAUCGAUGAAGAACGCAGCGAAAUGCGAUAAGUAGUGUGAAUUGCAGAAUUCAGUGAAUCAUCGAAUCUUUGAACGCACAUUGCGCCCCUUGGUAUUCCAUGGGGCAUGCCUGUUCGAGCGUCAUUUGUACCUUCAAGCUCUGCUUGGUGUUGGGUGUUUGUCUCGCCUCUGCGCGUAGACUCGCCUCAAAACAAUUGGCAGCCGGCGUAUUGAUUUCGGAGCGCAGUACAUCUCGCGCUUUGCAUUCAGAACGACGACGUCCAAAAGUACAUUUUUACACUCU